Molecule: ribosomal RNA, 503 nt
Filed under: uncultured bacterium
Lineage: Bacteria
Description: partial 16S ribosomal RNA
Rfam family: Bacterial small subunit ribosomal RNA
Source: RNAcentral
AUUGAACGCUGGCGGCAGGCUUAACACAUGCAAGUCGAGCGGGGUGAUGGUGCUUGCACUAUCACUUAGCGGCGGACGGGUGAGUAAUGCUUAGGAAUCUGCCUAUUAGUGGGGGACAACAUCUCGAAAGGGAUGCUAAUACCACAUACGUCCUACGGGAGAAAGCAGGGGAUCACUUGUGACCUUGCGCUAAUAGAUGAGCCUAAGUCGGAUUAGCUAGUUGGUAGGGUAAAGGCCUACCAAGGCGACGAUCUGUAGCGGGUCUGAGAGGAUGAUCCGCCACACUGGGACUGAGACGCGGCCCAGACUCCUACGGGAGGCAGCAGUGGGGAAUAUUGGACAAUGGGGGGAACCCUGAUCCAGCCAUGCCGCGUGUGUGAAGAAGGCCUUAUGGUUGUAAAGCACUUUAAGCGAGGAGGAGGCUCUUUUGGUUAAUACCCAAGACGAGUGGACGUUACUCGCAGAAUAAGCACCGGCUAACUCUGUGCCAGCCGCCGCGGUAA